RNAcentral lists this unclassified non-coding RNA (22 nucleotides) under Chlamydomonas reinhardtii. Its description in RNAcentral is "small RNA Cre_0650". Lineage: Eukaryota; Viridiplantae; Chlorophyta; Chlorophyceae; Chlamydomonadales; Chlamydomonadaceae. The record is from RNAcentral.
AGUUGUGCGGUUAUGCUGCAGA